UUGGAGGGCAAGUCUGGUGCCAGCAGCCGCGGUAAUUCCAGCUCCAAUAGCGUAUAUUAAAGUUGUUGCAGUUAAAAGGCUCGUAGUAGAAUUUCGGGAUUGACGUGAUGGUCGUGCCUUACGAGGUAUGAACUGUUGCAGUCAAUUUCUCACCUUCUGGAGAAAUAUGAUGUCCUUAAUUGGGUGUCAUAUGGAACCAGAACUUUUACCUUGAAAAAAUUAGAGUGUUUAAAGCAGGCUUAUUGCUCGAAUACAUUAGCAUGGAAUAAUAAAAUAGGACGGCAUGGUUCUAUUUUGUUGGUUUCUAGGAUCACCGUAAUGAUUAAUAGGGAUAGUUGGGGGCAUUAGUAUUCAAUUGUCAGAGGUGAAAUUCUUGGAUUUAUUGAGGACUAACUACUGCGAAAGCAUUUGCCAAGGAUGUUUUCAUUAAUCAAGAACGAAAGUUAGGGGAUCGAAGACGAUCAGAUACCGUCGUAGUCUUAACCAUAAACUAUGCCGACUAGGAAUCAGACGAUGUUAAUUUUUUAAUGACUCGUUUGGCACCUUACGGGAAACCAAAGUGUUUGGGUUC
RNAcentral lists this ribosomal RNA (571 nucleotides) under uncultured Glomeromycotina. Its description in RNAcentral is "SSU rRNA". It matches the Rfam family "Eukaryotic small subunit ribosomal RNA", at positions 548 to 1114 of the family's 1831-position model. Lineage: Eukaryota; Fungi; Glomeromycota. The record is from RNAcentral.